CGCGUAGGCGGACAGUUUAGUCAGAGGUGAAAGCCCAGGGCUCAACCUUGGAAAUGCCUUUGAUACUGGCUGUCUUGAGUUCGGGAGAGGUGUGUGGAACUCCGAGUGUAGAGGUGAAAUUCGUAGAUAUUCGGAAGAACACCAGUGGCGAAGGCGACACACUGGCCCGAUACUGACGCUGAGGCGCGAAAGCGUGGGGAGCAAACAGGAUUAGAUACCCUGGUAGUCCACGCUGUAAACGAUGAGUGCUAGUUGUCGGCAUGCAUGCAUGUCGGUGACGCAGCUAACGCAUUAAGCACUCCGCCUGGGGAGUACGGUCGCAAGAUUAAA
This 330-nucleotide ribosomal RNA is filed under the name uncultured bacterium. RNAcentral describes it as "bacterial SSU rRNA". It matches the Rfam family "Bacterial small subunit ribosomal RNA", at positions 568 to 898 of the family's 1533-position model. The record is from RNAcentral.